UACGGAGGGGGCGAGCGUUGUUCGGAAUUACUGGGCGUAAAGCGCGUGUAGGCGGCCUGCUAAGUCUGAUGUGAAAGCCCGGGGCUCACCCCCGGAAGUGCAUUGGAAACUGGUAGGCUUGAGUCCCGGAGAGGAGGGUGGAAUUCCUGGUGUAGCGGUGAAAUGCGUAGAUAUCAGGAGGAACACCGGUGGUGAAGGCGGCCCUCUGGACGGUGACUGACGCUGAGACGCGAAAGCGUGGGGAGCAAACAGG
RNAcentral lists this ribosomal RNA (253 nucleotides) under uncultured bacterium. Its description in RNAcentral is "partial 16S ribosomal RNA". It matches the Rfam family "Bacterial small subunit ribosomal RNA", at positions 524 to 776 of the family's 1533-position model. The record is from RNAcentral.